UGUGGAGAAAGUAAAUAAGGAAAAGUUAUGUACUUGUUCGCAUCAUAUAAGAAGUAGGGGCCAUCAAAUGAAAUUAAUGGGCAGCAGGUUUAAAACAAAUAAAAG
Non-coding RNA from Chelonoidis abingdonii (Abingdon island giant tortoise), 105 nucleotides. The record is from RefSeq and is a predicted model, not a curated record. Lineage: Eukaryota; Metazoa; Chordata; Testudines; Testudinidae.